This 618-nucleotide ribosomal RNA is filed under the name Dematipyriforma aquilariae. RNAcentral describes it as "eukaryotic LSU rRNA". It matches the Rfam family "Eukaryotic large subunit ribosomal RNA", at positions 44 to 687 of the family's 3401-position model. Lineage: Eukaryota; Fungi; Ascomycota; Sordariomycetes; Savoryellales; Savoryellaceae. The record is from RNAcentral.
CAAUAAGCGGAGGAAAAGAAACCAACAGGGAUUGCCUCAGUAACGGCGAGUGAAGCGGCAACAGCCCAGAUUUGAAAUCUGGCCUUCUGGCCCGAGUUGUAAUCUGUAGAUGAGUCUUUGGGUUACGUGCCGUCCAAGUCCCCUGGAAUGGGGCGCCAUAGAGGGUGAGAGCCCCGUACCGACGUGCGCCGCGCCUGUUUAAAGCUCAUUCGAAGAGUCGAGUAGUUUGGAAAUGCUGCUCUAAUUGUGGGGUAAAUCUCCCAUAAGGCUAAAUAUUGGCCAGAGACCGAUAGCGCACAAGUAGCGUGAGCGAAAGAUGAAAAGAGCCUUGAAUAAGGGCGUCAAAAAGUAUGUGAAAUUGUUAUGGGGGAAGCGCUUAGUGCCAGACGUGGUGGCGGUUGGUUACCCGGUGUUCCUCACCGGCGCACUCUUCCGUCGCCAGGCCAGCAUCGGUUCGGCUUGGGGCUCAAUGCUGCAGGGAACGUGGCUCUUCGGAGUGUUAUAGCCUUGUAGCGACGUCCCGGACCGGACCGAGGUUCGCGCAUCUGCUCGGAUGCUGGCGUAAUGGCCCUCAGCGACCCGUCUUGAAACACGGACCAAGGAGUUGACCUAGCACGC